RNAcentral lists this ribosomal RNA (460 nucleotides) under uncultured bacterium. Its description in RNAcentral is "partial 16S ribosomal RNA". It matches the Rfam family "Bacterial small subunit ribosomal RNA", at positions 338 to 795 of the family's 1533-position model. The record is from RNAcentral.
CCUACGGGAGGCAGCAGUGAGGAAUAUUGGUCAAUGGGCGCGAGCCUGAACCAGCCAAGUCGCGUGAAGGAUGACUGCCCUACGGGUUGUAAACUUCUUUUAUAAAGGAAUAAAGUGAGGCACGUGUGCCUUUUUGUAUGUACUUUAUGAAUAAGGAUCGGCUAACUCCGUGCCAGCAGCCGCGGUAAUACGGAGGAUCCGAGCGUUAUCCGGAUUUAUUGGGUUUAAAGGGUGCGUAGAUGGGUUGUUAAGUCAGUUGUGAAAGUUUGCGGCUCAACCGUAAAAUUGCAAUUGAUACUGGCAGGCUUGAGUAUGUUUGAGGUAGGCGGAAUUCGUGGUGUAGCGGUGAAAUGCUUAGAUAUCACGAAGAACUCCGAUUGCGAAGGCAGCUUACUAAGCUGCCACUGACAUUGAUGCACGAAAGUGUGGGUAUCAAACAGGAUUAGAUACCCGGGUAGUC